CCUACGGGUGGCUGCAGUGGGGAAUAUUGGGCAAUGGGCGCAAGCCUGACCCAGCAACGCCGCGUGAAGGAAGAAGGCUUUCGGGUUGUAAACUUCUUUUCUGAGGGGCGAAGAAAGUGACGGUACCUCAGGAAUAAGCCACGGCUAACUACGUGCCAGCAGCCGCGGUAAUACGUAGGUGGCAAGCGUUAUCCGGAUUUAUUGGGUGUAAAGGGCGUGUAGGCGGGAAGGCAAGUCAGAUGUGAAAACUCAGGGCUCAACCCUGUGCCUGCAUUUGAAACUGGUUUUCUUGAGUGCUGGAGAGGCAAUCGGAAUUCCGGGUGUAGCGGUGAAAUGCGUAGAUAUACGGAAGAACACCAGUGGCGAAGGCGGAUUACUGGACAGUAACUGACGCUGAGGCGCGAAAGCGUGGGGAGCAAACAGGAUUAGAUACCCUUGUAGUC
RNAcentral lists this ribosomal RNA (443 nucleotides) under uncultured bacterium. RNAcentral describes it as "partial 16S ribosomal RNA". It matches the Rfam family "Bacterial small subunit ribosomal RNA", at positions 338 to 795 of the family's 1533-position model. The record is from RNAcentral.